This 83-nucleotide transfer RNA is filed under the name Kiritimatiella glycovorans. It matches the Rfam family "tRNA". Rfam says of the family: Transfer RNA (tRNA) molecules are approximately 80 nucleotides in length. Lineage: Bacteria; Pseudomonadati; Kiritimatiellota; Kiritimatiellia; Kiritimatiellales; Kiritimatiellaceae. The record is from Rfam by way of RNAcentral.
GGGCGCGUGGUGAAACUGGUAAACACGCGAGAUUUAGGAUCUCGUGCCGCUCAGGCCUGCGGGUUCGAGUCCCGCCGCGCCCA